RNAcentral lists this ribosomal RNA (278 nucleotides) under uncultured bacterium. Its description in RNAcentral is "partial 16S ribosomal RNA". It matches the Rfam family "Bacterial small subunit ribosomal RNA", at positions 399 to 691 of the family's 1533-position model. The record is from RNAcentral.
GCGUGAAGGAAGAAGGCUUUCGGGUUGUAAACUUCUUUGACCAGGGACGAAACAAAUGACGGUACCUGGAAAACAAGCCACGGCUAACUACGUGCCAGCAGCCGCGGUAAUACGUAGGUGGCAAGCGUUGUCCGGAUUUACUGGGUGUAAAGGGCGCGUAGGCGGGACUGCAAGUCAGAUGUGAAAUCUGGGGGCUUAACCCUCAAACUGCAUUUGAAACUGUGGUUCUUGAGUGAUGGAGAGGCAGGCGGAAUUCCUAGUGUAGCGGUGAAAUGCGU